Pteropus alecto (black flying fox) is the source of this 592-nucleotide long non-coding RNA. RefSeq lists it as uncharacterized. The transcript is spliced from 3 exons. The record is from RefSeq and is a predicted model, not a curated record. Lineage: Eukaryota; Metazoa; Chordata; Mammalia; Chiroptera; Pteropodidae.
CGGAAAUGUCUCAACCCUCUGCAGAAGACUGUACAGGGAUGUGAUGAUGGAGAACUGUGGUAACUUGGUCUCGCUAGGCCAUUCCAUUUCUAAGCCAGAUGUAAUUACCUUAUUGGAACAAGAGAAAGAACCCUGGAUGGUUGUAAGGGAAGCAACAAGAAGGUGAUAUACAGCACCUGGUCUUCCUAGGUGGUCUCACAUCAAAGUACUAGCCAGGCCCGACCCUGCUUGGCUUCCAAGAUCAGAUGGAAUCAGGCUUCUUCAGGGUGGCAUGGCCAUAGACAAUUCUGAGUUUUUCUAAUUCUUGUUUGUGAUCGCUCAUAUCUCAAAGUAUUUUCUUCCUUUUAGCAUGUUUUUGAAUAGUAUGGUAUAGUUUUUCUCUGUUUUCAAGGCAUUUGUUUAAGAUGUAUUUAUAUUGUUUUUAUAACUAUCAUUAACUUUAGUCAUAUAAUUUCUUGUAUGGAAUUUCCUCCAGAAGACACAUCUCAGCUCCAAAGUCAAAUAUAGACUCAAAGUGAAAGGGUGGAAAGUGAUAUUUCAAGCAAAUGGCAUUCAGAGAAAAGCAGGAGUAGUGGUACUAAUAUCAAAUGAA